RNAcentral lists this ribosomal RNA (253 nucleotides) under uncultured bacterium. RNAcentral describes it as "partial 16S ribosomal RNA". It matches the Rfam family "Bacterial small subunit ribosomal RNA", at positions 524 to 776 of the family's 1533-position model. The record is from RNAcentral.
UACGUAGGGUGCAAGCGUUGUUCGGAAUUACUGGGCGUAAAGGGCGCGUAGGCGGGCCCGUAUGUCGAUUGUGAAAGCCCUGGGCUUAACCCGGGAAUGGCAGUCGAAACUGCGGGUCUUGAAUGCUUGAGAGGAUGGCGGAAUUCCCGGUGUAGAAGUGAAAUUCGUAGAUAUCGGGAAGAACACCUGAGGCGAAGGCGGCUAUCUGGCGAUGCAUUGACGCUGAGGCGCGAAAGCGUGGGGAGCAAACAGG